AUUGAACGCUGGCGGCAUGCCUUACACAUGCAAGUCGAACGGCAGCACGGGAGCAAUCCUGGUGGCGAGUGGCGAACGGGUGAGUAAUAUAUCGGAACGUGCCCAGUCGUGGGGGAUAACGUAGCGAAAGCUACGCUAAUACCGCAUACGAUCUAUGGAUGAAAGCGGGGGAUCGCAAGACCUCGCGCGAUUGGAGCGGCCGAUAUCAGAUUAGGUAGUUGGUGAGGUAAAGGCUCACCAAGCCGACGAUCUGUAGCUGGUCUGAGAGGACGACCAGCCACACUGGGACUGAGACACGGCCCAGACUCCUACGGAGGCAGCAGUGGGGAAUUUUUGGACAAUGGGCGCAAGCCUGAUCCAGCAAUGCCGCGUGCAGGAUGAAGGCCUUCGGUU
This 393-nucleotide ribosomal RNA is filed under the name uncultured bacterium. Its description in RNAcentral is "bacterial SSU rRNA". It matches the Rfam family "Bacterial small subunit ribosomal RNA", at positions 30 to 423 of the family's 1533-position model. The record is from RNAcentral.